Molecule: long non-coding RNA, 2574 nt
Organism: Onychostoma macrolepis
Lineage: Eukaryota; Metazoa; Chordata; Actinopteri; Cypriniformes; Cyprinidae
Exons: 3
Source: RefSeq, a predicted model, not a curated record
GAUGGCCCGAGCCUCGAUGCCAGAAAGAGAGUGGCAUAAUGCUUUUAGAGGACGCGGUGGGAGUGGGCCGCAGAUGCUAAACCAGGCAGUCUUCCUCCAGCGGUGCACCCUAGAGCUCUAGAGAGGGCGACACUGGCCAGUGGCGGGUAAGCACUGCUAACACAUUCUGUCAGCACAGCCUGGCGUGACCCUGUACCACAAGCUCUCUGGUCACAGUGCAGCGAGACUAUCACUGGCCACCAACUGCGCUUCAGACACAAACGGAGCAGACAGUCUGCGGUCGGGGUAAAAGCUAGUGAACAUGACUGGCUGAAAGCUUCAUCUCUGCAGGUAUCAUCUGUCUGUGGCUGAUUAUAACAACCUGUCUGGCAGUCUGCAGGGGUCAGAGGUCUGUACUGGGGACAGUGACUAACUGCAUUAUCCAUUCUGGUAAAUCGGAGCCGGAAGGAUAUGCAGACAAUCACAGGGUUCCUUGAGGAUGUAAGAGCACAGCUUGAAUCAAACUGCUGCUCGUUAUCUGCCAUAUCAUUAUCCCUAAAUUUGGAGUGUGCUAAAUGUGCACUGAAGAGACAACAAUUUAGAUCCUGAAGUGUUGAAAAUGCAGGUCUGGGUGGCUGGAUAUUGCACAACAAAGAAGCAUUCACACAUACAGAAUAUGUUGACAGGUUGCGGAGUGGCUGUAUUGUACUACUAAAAGGGGGAAAUGAAAACCUGUUUGCAGCAGGAGAGGGCUGUGCUGCGCUCCAAUUUUCUCAGCAACAAAAUAUAGCCUUGGUUGGAAGGCAAUUACACUGAAGUGUUCUCCACGAAAAUAGCCAAGAGUCUGGGCCGGGAUCCGCUAGCAGUCACCUCUCAGAUGAGCCCUACCAAUGGCUUCCUGAACCUGAUGAGAAGCUUGACUGGCUUCUAAUGAGGAUGAUGAAUAAGAGAGGACAGGGCAAAAGAAGUCUUGACAGCUCCCUGAAGGACGAGCAAACCGCAGGCAGAGCUCAGGAGAUCGAGGCACUCUAGACUCUGAUACAAAGCUGGACAGUGUUUUAAAUACGUUAUCUUGAUAAAACCUAUUCUCGGUUGGACCCCAAAGAGAGUCUGUCAAUUCAUUGUGACCUGUCAAGAUCCAAAAUGGACCAGAAAACACCAUUAAUGAACCAAAAUAAGCCCCCAUUUAACAUGUGGACCAAAGUAUAUUUAUCAUGGUCACAAAUUAAGAAUUCAUUCCUUAGUUUUAUUAAAUUGUUGCCUUGUUUUUAGUCAAAUCCUGGCUACUAUUAACUAUUAAUUCCGUCAUUUUGGUUAAUUCAUGGCCACAUUGUACUAAUUCGUUCCCACAUUGUAAAUUAAAACAAGGGAAUACAUUUGUACAACAUGGUCAUGAUUUCCUAAAACUAGGUAACUGAUUAGUCCAACAUGGCCAAUUAAGAUUUACUAAAAAUUAUGGGAUUAAUUCUUAAUAUGUGUGGUUUUUUUUUUUUCAGGUUUGGAAUGACAUUGACAGAAAAUUACAGAAUAUUGGGUAAACUUCCUGUACAAUCUUAUAUAAUAUAUAAUCUACAACCUGAAUUCUGGAAAUGUUGGGACGUUUUUUUUAAAUUUGAAUAAAAUGAAAACUAAAAGACUUUCAAAUCACAUGAGCCAAUAUUUUAUUCACAAUAGAACAUAGAGAACAUAACAAAUGUUUAAACGGAGAAAUUUUACACCUUUAUCCACUAUGAACUCAUCUCAAAUUUGAUGCCUGCUACAGGUCACAAAAAAGUUGGCAUGGGGCAACAAAGGGCUGAAAAAGCAAGAAAUUUUGAAAAUAUUCAGCUGGGAGAACAUCUAGAAAUUAAUUAAGUUGUGUGUAUUUCAGCAGGUCAAUGCAAAACCACAUACUGCAGCUAUUAAAACAGCAUGGCUUCGUAGUAGAAGAGUCGGGGUGCUGAAUUGGCCUGCUUGCAGUCCAGAUCUUUCAGCUAUAGAGAACAUUUGGCGCAUCAUUAAACGAAAAAUACGUCAAAGACGACCACAAACUCUUCAGCAGCUGGAAACCUAUAUCAGGCAAAAAUGGGACCAAAUUCCAACAACAAAACUCCAGAAACUCAUAACCUCGAUGCCUAGACGUCUUCAAACUGUUUUGAGAAGAAGAGGAGAUGCUAUACCAUGGUAAACAUGCCCCCGCAGGCCCGGCACCAGGGGGGGGGGCUGGGGUGGCUUUGCCCCCCCACGGACAUAACUGUGCCCCCCCUCCGAACUGAGGGGGACGGCCGGACUUUAGUUUAUCAUGUAUAAUAGUCUAACUCAUAGUGUAAAAUAGUCUAACUGAUUGCUUUUAGAUGGAAAAACUGACCAUAACUCCUGGUCUAGGAUCUGUUUUCUUCGUAAUAAUAGCAUAACGAAAUAGAUUUGGCAAACAAUCCAGUGUAUCUUCUGCUUUGGAAAGCUUCAAAUGAUUUUACAAUGCAUUUUCGCAGAUGGAGCAAAAUAGCCAAUCACAGACCUGUUUGUUGAUUUCUACAACGCAAUGGCCAAUCAGAGGUGUUUAGGUUGGAAUCCAUGCACUCACCACUUUUAUGUCCAGCGCCGAGUUCUAUCAUG